CGCCCUCAACGCACGCAAGCACAGGCACGGAGAGAGAGGGAACGGCAGCCGCUGCUGUGCGUCUGCGUGUAUUGGUGUUGGAAAAGUGUCCACGAGCGGCAGCAACAGCCAUGUUGCGCUCGCUCCGCGGUGCGGGCCACCGUCGCGGCGCUCGCUGCAUUCUUACCCGGCGGCGCACCGCAUCCAGCCAAGUGAUUCCGUCUCUCCCGCGCACUGCACAGCGUGCGAUGUCGACCUCGUCACGUUCGCUGACCGCGUCGGCGACGUCUUCCGCAUCUCGGCGCUCAAAGCGGCUGAGCUACGCCGACGCGGACGCGGUCUACGGCGAGAAGCCCACGACAGCACCGCCAUGGGGUCUGCGGCCAAGCCCCCAUGCCGGCUCGAUCAGCACCGCGAUGAGUGCCGCGCGCCAUGCAUCAUGGCGCAUCCGCGCGCAGCAGCGCUGGUUGACGUUGCUUCUCGCGCUCAUGCGGGCACCAUACAUCGGUGCGAUUACGAUGCGUGUGCUCGAGGCCUCCGCCUACGCCGCCUAUGUAACGGGCUCUGUUAUGGUAUUUACUCGUCGGCGUGCGGGGCCUCCGGUGGCGGUGGCAACGGAGCCGGACUCCUCUUGCGAGAACGUCGACUUGUGCGAGGCGGGCUGCACCGCCCAAACGCAGGUGUCGCAGGCACGAUGCAGCGCCCACCUGCCUAAGGCAGGCGACCUCUCAGCGUCGCCGCGUCCCUCGCCGGCCGGCCGCCCCUCCUCCUCGCUUCUCUUCUCUCACGACGCGCCGCUGCGUGAGCACGCCCUUGACUGCCUCUACAUCGGCGCCAGCUCGAUCCACAGCAGAGGGCUGUUCACGGCACGUGCGCUGCCGCGCGGCACCCGCAUCAUCGCCGAGUCGCGCCGCUCCCUCCUACUCGCACCGCACUUUGUCACCUUGCUAGCUGACACGCACGAUAAGCUGCCGGAUACGUGGCACUACACCCAACCCACCGGGUGCGUCGUGGAGUUGGUGACGCAGGCGCAGCCACAUCAUCUAAUGAACCACAGCUGCGCACCGAAUGUGUGCAGUGGACUCUCACACACCUUCUGGGAGGCCGCCACGAUAGCAGGUAAAUGGCAGGAGCAGCAGCAGCAGCAGCGCUCGCGGCGGAGCGGCUCCACGCACGGUGCUGCGAGUGGGCGCACGGAGGCCUCCCACGGUAACGUCAGGGAGGAAGGUAGUCGCAGUGACAUGAUAGCUUGGACCUCGUCGUCGUCGCCCUUGGCCGCCGAAGCGCACAGCGCGGGCUGUGGCGAGCGGUUGACGCGGUGGCCGCACUUCGCUGACGCAAACAGCUUCUUUCUGACUCGCGAUGUCGCGGCGGAAGAGGAGCUCACGCUGGACUACAGCACUCGCAUGGCCCCCCUCUACGCAGGGGACUCGGCACGCGCGCUACAGUCGCGCAGCUGGCUGCUCUGCCGCUGUGGGCAGCCGUGCUGCCGUCACUACGUGUACCGCCCAAAGCCGGAAGUCAGCGCCUUUUUGCGCGCGCUGCGCACGGCACCCUAUGGACACGAGCGCGGACCGCAGCCGCCAGGGCAGCACAACGUGCCGUUGAUGCCGGAUGGUGCAGCGCUGUCUUGCCCGACGGACACGCGCGACCCCGUGCAUAUCAUGGCAAAGUUGCUCGAGCUUGGCUUCGAUGAUGAACUUGUGCUCCUGAGCUACGCCGCCGGCAGUGCGGACGUGGUGGCGUACCUUUAUGGGCAGCCGCUGCCCUCACUACAGAAAUCCUCACGAACUCAAUCGCGGGCACCAUUCGCACGAAUGUGCCCGUCGUCAGCGAGCGCGCCGCCGGCGGUGCACGAGGGCAUUGACGUGGAGGUGCGCAGGAUGACCAAGCGCCAGCUGCUCUCGGAAUACCGCUAUGUCUUUCGACUCUUGAACGAAGCGGUGCCGGUGCGUACGUGAAUAGCCUCCCUAUGUGUGCGUGCUAUGUGUGUGUGUGUGUGUUCUUUUCAUGGGGGAAGAGGAGGGAGGGAGGGAGGACGACGGACUCGGCCGGAGUGGCGCAGCGUGCUUGUGCCAAGAGGGCCCUCCUCCUUGCCCGUAGGCCCGCCUUCUCUUCUCCUCCCACCCUCUCUCGCCGCCCUCACCCGCACUCAUGCGCAGCGCAGGAGGUCGCAUGUGCCGGUGUGUCGUAGGCCCGCAUCGUCGAAGCGCCUCCGAAAC
RNAcentral lists this unclassified non-coding RNA (2201 nucleotides) under Leishmania donovani. Its description in RNAcentral is "gene:LdHU3.12.0380(CDS-product:hypothetical_prote in_conserved)". The record is from RNAcentral. Lineage: Eukaryota; Euglenozoa; Kinetoplastea; Trypanosomatida; Trypanosomatidae.